CAUCGGAAGUAAGAAGAAUCACACACCUCCCGUUUAGCGCGAUGAAGACUGCCCGCGCCUGAGCCUCCUUUCAUCGGAAGCAAGAAGAAUCACAGACCUCCGGUUUACCGCGAUGAAGACUGCCCGCGCCUGAGCCUCCUUUCACCUAGGUCUUCAUCGCAUUUUCACUAGAAAUCCCAAUUUCGAAAACCCUUGCCCGAGCCACAGCUCAUGAUUCUAGAGCUACUAUACCAGGAAACAAGUAGAGGUACUCCGGCAUAUAAUUGCUGUCUGUUGGUUUUCUUGCUUUUUCAUUGUGUUUUUCAAUCUUUCAAUGUUUCAGGUGGGGUUUAAAGUCAUUUUUGUUGUUCUUGGUGGUUCUAUUAGAUAGCAUAUGAUCUAGAAGAAAAGAUUGUACAAUAAAUUAGCCGAUGAGGACAAUGAGUUUAGGGAAAUAGCCUAUUGUUCAUGAGAAUUACAGGCAGAAGAGAAGCUGGGUUUCAUGAUUUGGCAUCUCUGUUUCAUGUAAGCAUCUCUUACUCUCUUUCAGAAAAUAAUGAGAUUAGGGAAAUAGCCUAUUGUUGUAGCUAUUCAUAUGAAUAUAAGAUAUUCUGUCCCAUAAAUUAUUAUAGUAUACUGUUUCAAUAUUUGGUGUCACUGUGUACGACCAUAAGAAGCAGGUACCAUUUCUUUCUUCUCAUUUUGCUCUUUUUUUCCCCUCUCAGAAUACUAUUUCUUGAUUCUCCUCUCUUGAUAAAGUUACAAUCUUUAGGCUACUUCUUUGCUCCUCCCCGUUUGAGAUGUUUUGGUUGCUUUAAUGAGCUCAUAUUAUUUGUGUUUCUAAUUAAGAACUACUAGGCUAGGUGAUGACAGUAUUGGGUUUUGCUUCUCACCUCCAAUUAAAAAUGAAACUAAUUUAUAGCUCCAUUCCCAUUGAUGCUGCAUGUGCAUUUCGUAUGGAGAACAUGUUGUUGAAGAUAGUGAUGUGAUCAUAUUCUCUGUGAAGCCUCAAAUAGGGAUUUACUUGAAACAAUCGGUGUUUUCACAUGGACAGUUAUAUGUUGCAUUAUCAAGAGCAAAGAAAGAAGAUUGUGUAAAGAUGUUACUUUGCAAUACUCAUCGCGAUACAACUACUACAGACCUAACUGAUAACAUUGUCUAUCAAGAAAUUCUAAAUGAAGCUUGUGGAUAACUUCUUUGAUCUAACUAGAUUACUACUCUACGCAUUCAAAUGCUCGAUUUGUCCAACUUAUAUUGACCUUGAUCCGGUAUCAAUAUAAAGAAUUUAUGAUUAGGGUUGUUCUCUCCCAGAGAUACAACAACACAACUCUCAGCAGCUAUGAUUCUCAAGUGGCCAACAUUAUAUUUUUGGACCAACCAGUUGGAACAGGAUUUGGGUUGCACAGUGAAUUUGACGGUCUUGAUGUAGGCCUCUAAUUUUACUUUGUUAUUGGGUUGAGGAAGUAAAAAUGUGACGAAACGAUUACUCUUUUGAGCUUUGUGCCUUUUCUAGGACAUGCUUAAGUUCCUGUAUUUUGGCUUCCCUAGAGCAAGAAUGAAAGACUUCUUGAGUGCCAUAUGCCCAUACAUGUACUAAAUGUAUCAAUGUGCUUCUCUAGAAGUGUACCAAAACUGGGAGUUGAGGGAAUUGAAGCUUAUGGUCUAGACAAGUUGAUCCAAUUUGCUGCAUCUCAGCUUAGUGACCAACUUCCUGAGUCUAGGGAAGCUGCCCGUGCUCUUUUAUUGGAGCUGCAAAGUGUCUAUGAGAAGAUAACAACAACAGUGACUGAAGAUCAAGAAGCAAUUUCUUGGGAGCAAUUUUGCCAAUCAAAGCUCUCACCCUUGAACGCUCAAGCUGUCCUUCGAGUGACCAAUGUUCCUAGGGAGGGUCUUGUGCAGGGAUCCUAACAAAUUACAAGCCGUAGCAAGUUUCUUUGGCUUUCACUGUGUUUUGGGUUCAUUUUCUUAUACCUGUACAUACGAUGGAAGUUUGAGAUGAUGAGAGGCGGUUGCAGCAGCAUUUAUUAUUAAUCUUGAGAAGUUGGCUUGAUAGAAAGCAAAAGACAAAGCCAUUUUUUAAGAUUAUAAUCAAUUUCUGUUUCAUUA
Molecule: RNA transcript, 2085 nt
Organism: Ipomoea nil (Japanese morning glory)
Lineage: Eukaryota; Viridiplantae; Streptophyta; Magnoliopsida; Solanales; Convolvulaceae
Exons: 5
Source: RefSeq, a predicted model, not a curated record